GAUGAACGCUGGCGGCGUACCUAAUACAUGCAAGUCGAGCGAACGGACGAGAAGCUUGCUUCUCUGAUGUUAGCGGCGGACGGGUGAGUAACACGUGGAUAACCUACCUAUAAGACUGGGAUAACUUCGGGAAACCGGAGCUAAUACCGGAUGAUAUUUUGAACCGCAUGGUUCAAAAGUGAAAGACGGUCUUGCUGUCACUUAUAGAUGGAUCCGCGCUGCAUUAGCUAGUUGGUAAGGUAACGGCUUACCAAGGCAACGAUGCAUAGCCGACCUGAGAGGGUGAUCGGCCACACUGGAACUGAGACACGGUCCAGACUCCUACGGGAGGCAGCAGUAGGGAAUCUUCCGCAAAGGGCGAAAGCCUGACGGAGCAACGCCGCGUGAGUGAUGAAGGUCUUCGGAUCGUAAAACUCUGUUAUUAGGGAAGAACAUAUGUGUAAGUAACUGUGCACAUCUUGACGGUACCUAAUCAGAAAGCCACGGCUAACUACGUG
Molecule: ribosomal RNA, 497 nt
Filed under: uncultured bacterium
Lineage: Bacteria
Description: partial 16S ribosomal RNA
Rfam family: Bacterial small subunit ribosomal RNA
Source: RNAcentral